RNAcentral lists this ribosomal RNA (374 nucleotides) under uncultured bacterium. RNAcentral's name for it is "bacterial SSU rRNA". It matches the Rfam family "Bacterial small subunit ribosomal RNA", at positions 527 to 898 of the family's 1533-position model. The record is from RNAcentral.
GUAGGGGGCAAGCGUUGUCCGGAUUUAUUGGGCGUAAAGCGCUCGCAGGCGGCCUGGCCAAGUCGUGCGUGAAAUCUCCCGGCUCAACUGGGAGCGGUCGUGCGAUACUGGUCGGCUCGAGGCCGGUAGGGGGGAGUGGAAUUCCGGGUGUAGUGGUGGAAUGCGUAGAUAUCCGGAGGAACACCAGUGGCGAAGGCGGCUCCCUGGACCGGUCCUGACGCUCAGGAGCGAAAGCGUGGGUAGCGAUCCGGAUUAGAUACCCGGGUAGUCCACGCCGUAAACGAUGAGCACUAGGUGUCGGGGGUAUCGACCCCCCCGGUGCCGCAGCUAACGCAAUAAGUGCUCCGCCUGGGGACUACGGCCGCAAGGCUAAA